CAACAGGGGAGCCAUUAGAGAGAGGCCGGAGAGAACUUAUGAUGCUGCUUUUCAGGUGUCUCAUUCAGUAGCAGCAGAGAACAAGAAAAUCCAACAAGGAAACAGCGUAGUACACGUUAACAGCUUUAAUUGGAGACCGGUUCUGCCUUUUUUUUUUUUUCCAAAGCAGCGAGAGGAAAAGAUCCUUUGACCGAGUCACGUGAUCUCAUCACGUGACUUGCAGUGACCACGGAAAGGGAAGGAGGGGAAAAAAAGGGCAAACAUUCCUGCUGCCAGCGUUUGGGGAUAUAGUAAAUGAUUAAAUGGAUUCUACUGCUGCCGCCUCGAAUCUGACGAUCUUUCAGACUUCCUCCUGAACUACUAACUUAAAAGCUCAUUAAAAUACACGUACAGAAAUACA
Long non-coding RNA from Suricata suricatta (meerkat), 400 nucleotides. RefSeq lists it as uncharacterized. The transcript is spliced from 2 exons. NCBI's taxonomy places the organism in Eukaryota, Metazoa, Chordata, Mammalia, Carnivora, Herpestidae. The record is from RefSeq and is a predicted model, not a curated record.